GACGAACGCUGGCGGCGUGCCUAAUACAUGCAAGUAGAACGCUGAAGGAGGAGCUUGCUCUUCUGGAUGAGUUGCGAACGGGUGAGUAACGCGUAGGUAACCUGCCUGGUAGCGGGGGAUAACUAUUGGAAACGAUAGCUAAUACCGCAUAACAGUAGAUGUUGCAUGACAUUUGCUUAAAAGGUGCAAUUGCACCACUACCAGAUGGACCUGCGUUGUAUUAGCUAGUUGGUGGGGUAACGGCUCACCAAGGCGACGAUACAUAGCCGACCUGAGAGGGUGAUCGGCCACACUGGGACUGAGACACGGCCCAGACUCCUACGGGAGGCAGCAGUAGGGAAUCUUCGGCAAGGGACGGAAGUCUGACCGAGCAACGCCGCGUGAGUGAAGAAGGUUUUCGGAUCGUAAAGCUCUGUUGUAAGAGAAGAACGAGUGUGAGAGUGGAAAGUUCACACUGUGACGGUAGCUUACCAGAAAGGGACGGCUAACUACGUG
This 495-nucleotide ribosomal RNA is filed under the name uncultured bacterium. RNAcentral describes it as "partial 16S ribosomal RNA". It matches the Rfam family "Bacterial small subunit ribosomal RNA", at positions 28 to 507 of the family's 1533-position model. The record is from RNAcentral.